UACGUAGGGUGCAAGCGUUGUCCGGAAUUAUUGGGCGUAAAGAGCUCGUAGGCGGUCUGUCGCGUCUGCUGUGAAAACUCAGGGCUUAACCCUGAGCUUGCAGUGGGUACGGGCAGACUAGAGUGCGGUAGGGGAGACUGGAAUUCCUGGUGUAGCGGUGAAAUGCGCAGAUAUCAGGAGGGAACACCCGGUGGGCGAAGGCGGGUCUCUGGGCCGUAACUGACGC
Molecule: ribosomal RNA, 226 nt
Filed under: uncultured bacterium
Lineage: Bacteria
Description: partial 16S ribosomal RNA
Rfam family: Bacterial small subunit ribosomal RNA
Source: RNAcentral